RNAcentral lists this ribosomal RNA (528 nucleotides) under uncultured bacterium. RNAcentral describes it as "bacterial SSU rRNA". It matches the Rfam family "Bacterial small subunit ribosomal RNA", at positions 338 to 862 of the family's 1533-position model. The record is from RNAcentral.
CCUACGGGAGGCAGCAGUGGGGAAUUUUGGACAAUGGGCGCAAGCCUGAUCCAGCCAUGCCGCGUGCAGGAUGAAGGUCUUCGGGUUGUAAACUGCUUUUGUACGGAACGAAAAGGUCUUUUUAAUAAAGAGGGCCCAUGACGGUACCGUAAGAAUAAGCACCGGCUAACUACGUGCCAGCAGCCGCGGUAAUACGUAGGGUGCAAGCGUUAAUCGGAAUUACUGGGCGUAAAGCGUGCGCAGGCGGUAAUGUAAGACAGAUGUGAAAUCCCCGGGCUCAACCUGGGAACUGCAUUUGUGACUGCAUUGCUGGAGUGCGGCAGAGGGGGAUGGAAUUCCGCGUGUAGCAGUGAAAUGCGUAGAUAUGCGGAGGAACACCGAUGGCGAAGGCAAUCCCCUGGGCCUGCACUGACGCUCAUGCACGAAGACGGUGGGGAGGACAACAGGAGUUAGUAUACCCGUACGGUAGUACCGACCGACCCGUAAACCGACUAGUCACUGGUUGGUUGGGUUCGUUCUAUUGUACUC